UGGGGAAUAUUGGACAAUGGGCGAAAGCCUGAUCCAGCCAUGCCGCGUGUGUGAAGAAGGUCUUCGGAUUGUAAAGCACUUUAAGUUGGGAGGAAGGGCAGUAAGCGAAUACCUUGCUGUUUUGACGUUACCGACAGAAUAAGCACCGGCUAACUCUGUGCCAGCAGCCGCGGUAAUACAGAGGGUGCAAGCGUUAAUUGGAAUUACUGGGCGUAAAGCGCGCGUAGGUGGUUCGUUAAGUUGAAUGUGAAAGCCCCGGGCUCAACCUGGGAACUGCAUACAAAACUGGCGAGCUAGAGUAGGGCAGAGGGUGGUGGAAUUUCAUGUGUAGCGGUGAAAUGCGUAGAUAUAGGAAGGAACACCAGUGGCGAAGGCGACAACCUGGGCUCAUACUGACACUGAGGUGCGAAAGCGUGGGGAGCAAACAGG
This 429-nucleotide ribosomal RNA is filed under the name Pseudomonadota bacterium. Its description in RNAcentral is "Proteobacteria bacterium partial 16S ribosomal RNA". It matches the Rfam family "Bacterial small subunit ribosomal RNA", at positions 355 to 776 of the family's 1533-position model. The record is from RNAcentral. Lineage: Bacteria; Pseudomonadati; Pseudomonadota.